RNAcentral lists this ribosomal RNA (410 nucleotides) under uncultured microorganism. RNAcentral describes it as "bacterial SSU rRNA". It matches the Rfam family "Bacterial small subunit ribosomal RNA", at positions 509 to 917 of the family's 1533-position model. The record is from RNAcentral.
CAGCAGCCGCGGUAAUACGUAGGGUGCGAGCGUUAAUCGGAUUUACUGGGCGUAAAGCGUGCGCAGGCGGCCCGUUAAGACAGGUGUGAAAUCCCUGGGCUCAACCUAGAAAUUGCGCUUGUGACUGGCGGGCUCGAGUACGGUAGAGGGGGGUGGAAUUCCUGGUGUAGCAGUGAAAUGCGUAGAGAUCAGGAGGAACACCGAUGGCGAAGGCAGCCCCCUGGGCCUGUACUGACGCUCAUGCACGAAAGCGUGGGGAGCAAACAGGAUUAGAUACCCUGGUAGUCCACGCCCUAAACGAUGGGUACUAGCCGUUUGGUGCGCGAUAGCGCUGAGUGGCGAAGCUAACGCGUGAAGUACCCCGCCUGGGGAGUACGGCCGCAAGGUUGAAACUUAAAGGAAUUGGCGGG